RNAcentral lists this ribosomal RNA (253 nucleotides) under uncultured bacterium. RNAcentral's name for it is "partial 16S ribosomal RNA". It matches the Rfam family "Bacterial small subunit ribosomal RNA", at positions 524 to 776 of the family's 1533-position model. The record is from RNAcentral.
UACGUAGGGGGCAAGCGUUGUCCGGAUUCAUUGGGCGUAAAGAGCGUGUAGGCGGCCAGGUAGGUCGGUUGUGAAAAAUGGAGGCUCAACCUUCAGAGGUCGACCGAAACCAUCUGGCUAGAGUCCGGGAGAGGAGAGUGGAAUUCCUGGUGUAGCGGUGAAAUGCGCAGAUAUCAGGAAGAACACCCGUGGCGAAAGCGGCUCUCUGGAACGGUACUGACGCUGAGACGCGAAAGCGUGGGGAGCAAACAGG